Molecule: ribosomal RNA, 253 nt
Filed under: uncultured bacterium
Lineage: Bacteria
Description: partial 16S ribosomal RNA
Rfam family: Bacterial small subunit ribosomal RNA
Source: RNAcentral
GACGAACUGUCCAAACGUUGUUCGGAAUCACUGGGCUUAAAGGGCGCGUAGGCGGCCUUGAAAGUCGGGGGUGAAAUCCCACGGCCUAACCGUGGAAGUGCCUCCGAUACUGCAAGGCUCGAGGGAGGCAGGGGCAGCUGGAACUUCCGGUGGAGCGGUGAAAUGCGUUGAUAUCGGAAGGAACGCCGGUGGCGAAAGCGAGCUGCUGGACCUCUGCUGACGCUGAGGCGCGAAAUCCAGGGGAGCAAACGGG